RNAcentral lists this small RNA (2382 nucleotides) under Pan troglodytes (chimpanzee). RNAcentral describes it as "retained intron". Lineage: Eukaryota; Metazoa; Chordata; Mammalia; Primates; Hominidae. The record is from RNAcentral.
AGCUUGGCCGCGCAGUGCCGGGACCCGGCUGCAGCGGUGGGAAGGCGGGGGCGUGCCGGCCCAGCGGGGAGAGGCAUCUGCAGGGGCUGCUGAGAGUAAAUACUUGGCGCCUCCAGCUGCUGGCCAAGGAGACAGAUGGAGCUCAAGUUGGGAGAUGCGCCCUGAGAGCCGAUGAUAGACACAAGUCCAGAUCUCGGAUUUUGAUACUGUAUGUUCCCUGGGUUCCUGAGAGAGGACAUUGAGGAGUAGGAGUCGGCGAUUAAGGAGAUCGGUACAAUUGGGAAGCCUCCUGUCAGAGCUUCCAGCAAUUUCCUCAUCAGAGGUGGACAAGCCCUAUGGGCUAAGACAGAGGGUCCUCAGAAAGGAGUGCGGACGCCGUCAUGCUGCAGCAGCUCCUGAUCACCCUGCCCACCGAGGCCAGCACCUGGGUGAAGUUGCGUCAUCCAAAGGCGGCCACGGAGCGGGUGGCCCUGUGGGAGGAUGUGACUAAGAUGUUUAAAGCAGAAGCUCUGCUGUCUCAGGAUGCUGAUGAGACCCAGGGAGAAAGUUUAGAGAGUAGAGUGACCCUUGGAUCCCUGACAGCAGAAUCCCAGGAACUGUUAACCUUCAAGGACGUAUCUGUGGACUUCACUCAGGAGGAGUGGGGGCAGCUGGCCCCUGCUCACCGGAAUCUGUACCGGGAGGUGAUGCUGGAGAACUAUGGGAACCUGGUCUCAGUGGGUAAGGAUGGGCUCCUCUUGAAAAUAGAACGUACCUAUUGGAUGAAAACCUUUGUUUCUAAAUUAAGUGCUUUGUUUGGGCUUUGGGUUCUGUAUUAGAGGUUUUGUGUUUCCUUCUGAACACCCAGUCAGGAUUGCUAUGCUCUUUUCUGCUCUGUUCUUUCUACUCUACUCUGCUUUCUUUAGAAGGCCCGAAUACCAAAGAACCAUAUUUAAAUUCUUGGGAUGGCUCUGUGACCUCAGCAUAUACAGUCUUUUCUUCCCCAUAAGCAGGAUGUCAGCUUUCCAAACCUGGCGUGAUUUCCCAGUUGGAGAAAGGAGAAGAACCAUGGCUGAUGGAGAGAGAUAUUUCAGGAGUUCCAAGUUCAGACUUAAAGAGCAAAACAAAAACCAAAGAGUCAGCCUUACAGAAUGAUAUUUCGUGGGAAGAAUUACAUUGUGGCCUAAUGAUGGAAAGAUUUACAAAAGGAAGCACCAUGUAUUCCACCUUGGGAAGAAUCUCCAAAUGUAAUAAGCUAGAAAGCCAACAAGAGAACCAAAGAAUGGGUGAGAGGCAAAUCCCCUUGAUGUGCAAGAAAACAUUCACUCAGGAGAGAGGCCAAGAGUCUAAUAGAUUUGAGAAAAGAAUUAAUGUGAAGUCAGAAGUUAUGCCAGGACCAAUAGUUCUUCCAAGAAAAAGAGAUCGUAAAUAUGACACACUUGAAAAGAGAAGCAGAUACAACAUAGAUUUAGUUAAUCAUUCAAGGAGUUAUACAAAAAUGAAAACCUUUGAAUGUAAUAUUUGUGAAAAAAUCUUCAAACAGCUUAUUCACCUUACUGAACACAUGAGAAUUCAUACCGGCGAGAAACCUUUCAGAUGUAAGGAAUGUGGAAAAGCCUUUAGCCAAAGUUCAUCUCUUAUUCCACAUCAGAGAAUUCAUACUGGUGAGAAACCCUAUGAAUGUAAGGAGUGUGGGAAAACCUUCAGACAUCCUUCAUCGCUUACUCAACAUGUUAGAAUUCAUACCGGGGAGAAGCCCUAUGAAUGUAGGGUAUGUGAGAAAGCCUUCAGCCAGAGCAUUGGACUGAUCCAGCAUUUGAGAACUCAUGUUAGAGAGAAACCUUUUACAUGCAAAGACUGUGGAAAAGCGUUUUUCCAGAUUAGACACCUUAGGCAACAUGAGAUUAUUCAUACUGGUGUGAAACCCUAUAUUUGUAAUGUAUGUAGUAAAACCUUCAGCCAUAGUACAUACCUAACUCAACACCAGAGAACUCAUACUGGAGAAAGACCGUAUAAAUGUAAGGAAUGUGGGAAAGCCUUUAGCCAGAGAAUACAUCUUUCUAUCCAUCAGAGAGUCCAUACUGGAGUAAAACCUUAUGAAUGCAGUCAUUGUGGGAAAGCCUUUAGGCAUGAUUCAUCCUUUGCUAAACAUCAGAGAAUUCAUACUGGAGAAAAACCUUAUGACUGUAAUGAGUGUGGAAAAGCCUUCAGCUGUAGUUCAUCCCUUAUUAGACACUGCAAAACACAUUUAAGAAAUACCUUCAGCAAUGUUGUGUGAAAUAUACUAAACAUCAAAGAAUCUAUGUUGGAGCAAAAGAUUCUAAAUCAGUGGUUCCCUGAUCCCUCAAAAAUCCAUUUGUUUUUGGAUUUCCAAAAACAAACAUUAAAAAAAAAUGGUUUGGC